AAAAAAAAUCCCCUGAAGAAAACAAGGCCUUUAAAAGUAGAAUUAGCCAAAGGAGAAAGAGAUAUAAAAGCUGACUGAAGAAAGCAUCAUCUGUUAAAAACUAGAAUGGGGGCAAUGAAAGCUAAUGAUUCUAUAAGACAGCAAAAAUCAGGCAAGCAAAGUAGAAAGAAUGAAAAAAUUGAAGAAAAUGUGAAAUGUGUCAGUGGAAAUCAACCUAGAAAAUAGAUCCAGAAGAGACAAGGUGCAAAUUAUUGGUGUACGUGAAGGCCAUAUCCAGAACAGCAUUUUUCAAGAGGUCAUUAAGGAAAACUACCAUAAUAUUUUAGAAAUAAAGGAGGAAAUACAGUGAAAUAGUCCAACAAUCACUUUUGGAAAGAGAUCCCACAAGGAAAACCUGAAGGGACAUUGUUAUGAAACUCCAGAACUACAAUGUCAAUGAGGAAAAUACUGCAAGCUGCCAGGCAAAAACAAUUCAAAUAUCAAGGAGCAACAGUCAGGAUUACCCAGGAUCUGUUAACAUCUACCCUAAAGGAUUGGAGGUUCUGGGAUAACAUAUUGUGGAAAGCAAAAAAACCAGGGAUUACAAUAAAAAAUUAAGUACCCAGAAAGAUUAAGCAUCAUAUUUCAGGGGAGUAAAUGAACUUCAAAGAAAUAAGAGAUUUUCAAUCAUUUCUAUUGAAAAAACCAGAAAGAAACAGAAAAUUUAAUCUACAAACACAGUACUUAAGAGAAGCAUAGAAAGAUAAACUGGGGAAAUAUAUAAAAGCUUAAAGUGUUUACGUCCCUAGAUGGGAAAAUAAUAUCUGCAAUUCUUGAGAAUUAUAUUUGUCACUGGAGCAGACAGAGGGAGGAUCACAUGGACUGAAGCCUCCUAUGAAUACAAAACCUCCCAAGACAAAAACAACAAAGAUGAUGACAAAUCACCACCAACAAAAACAUUGGAUGAUCUGCCCAUAAAAAGCUAUACCCCUGACUCUCCAGAAUUCUCCAUCUUAUUCCAGCUGUCUUCUCAUCUUUGAAGAUAUCUCUACCCCAUCCUCUAAUUGUUCUGGAGGAAAAAGUGGAAAGCAAGGAGAGACAAUGGGAGGGAAAAGGUAUUAUAGAAGCUGCAGAUGAAAAGUGUCUACCAAAGGAUAAAGAAGCACAGAGAAUGAGAGAUGAAUGUUAAAAAAGAAAAUAGGCAACAUCAAAGUUUCUAAAUUUCUCAUUUUGAAGUAAAAAGAUCAAGAGAUACUAAGGACAGAGACAACCUGGCAGGAGUAACAUCUUAUUCUUCUAUCAGACAAUCUCCAAAGGCUUUGGGAAAUUUGUCUGCCUUUUCCUAGUUCUGAUUUAGAACUGGACAGUGCCAUUUAUGAAAAGUAAAGGGGUGAUCUCUGUGUGAUUCUCAUUUUGAAAAUCUGCUUUUACAUUCAGUAAUAAUGGAUUUACAAAGAAUCUGAAAAUGGUGAAAUUCCUCAAAAACAAUUAAAUAUUUUCAUUAACCAUGGAAAACUGUAAAAUGCAGCUAAUUAAUAUGAUUUUUUGAAACUGGGUGUUAAAGAGGCCAAAAACAAGAGUUUAAUGAGCAGUGCUAAAUUGGAAAGUCAAAGAACUUAAGAGACAGGUGAUUUUCUUUUGA
Sarcophilus harrisii (Tasmanian devil) is the source of this 1621-nucleotide long non-coding RNA. RefSeq lists it as uncharacterized. NCBI's taxonomy places the organism in Eukaryota, Metazoa, Chordata, Mammalia, Dasyuromorphia, Dasyuridae. The transcript is spliced from 4 exons. The record is from RefSeq and is a predicted model, not a curated record.